RNAcentral lists this long non-coding RNA (510 nucleotides) under Physcomitrium patens. RNAcentral describes it as "long non-coding RNA (PPAT_LNC007719)". Lineage: Eukaryota; Viridiplantae; Streptophyta; Bryopsida; Funariales; Funariaceae. The record is from RNAcentral.
UUUUUUUGGAUCGAAGAGCUAGCUUCAAGCUUUUUUUCAAGGUUACUAGUUCGGUUUCAUUAGAGGUUUUUUUUGAAGAUAGGAAAGAGGUAGCUUCAAGCUUUUUUUCAAGGUUACUAGUUUGGUGUCAUUAGAGGUUUUUUUUGAAAAUAGGAGAGAGCUAGCUUCAUGCUUCGGGAUCGGGGAAGAAAAGACAGAGAAUUGGAUUUUUCUUCUUCAUAGGGUUUUGGGAAGACUGAGGCAAUCGUUGCUGAAGUCAGUGUUAUAAUGGUGAAUCGAGAUUUUUAAUGAAGUGGGUUUGAUUACUCUUGACUGUUUUGUGAAAUUGAGUUACGUCUGUGAUUGAAGGAUUAAAAAGGUGUCUAUAGAAUUGAGUAUGCGGAGUGAAUGAAAUUUAUUAGGUUAAUCUAACAAGACAAUCAGUGGAUACAAGAUCGUAAGUACAAAGCGGUAUCGGAGAUUAGCAGAUUGGGUUGUUCGGGGUUCUCUGUAACGUCUAGAGACCUACCG